UACGGGGGGGACGAGCGUUGUUCGGAUUUACUGGGCGUAAAGGGCGCGUAGGCGGACCUUCAAGUCGGAUGUGAAACCCCCGGGCUUAACUCGGGGCCUGCAUUUGAUACUGUCGGUCUUGAGUACAGGAGAGGAGAGUGGAAUUCCAGGUGUAGCGGUGAAAUGCGUAGAUAUCUGGAAGAACACCAGUAGCGAAGGCGGCUCUCUGGACUGAUACUGACGCUCAAGCGCGAAGGCUUGGGGAGCAAACAGG
This 253-nucleotide ribosomal RNA is filed under the name uncultured bacterium. RNAcentral describes it as "partial 16S ribosomal RNA". It matches the Rfam family "Bacterial small subunit ribosomal RNA", at positions 524 to 776 of the family's 1533-position model. The record is from RNAcentral.